Molecule: transfer RNA, 77 nt
Filed under: Chitinophagaceae bacterium
Lineage: Bacteria; Pseudomonadati; Bacteroidota; Chitinophagia; Chitinophagales; Chitinophagaceae
Also listed under: 2 other names
Description: tRNA-Ile
Rfam family: tRNA
About the family: Transfer RNA (tRNA) molecules are approximately 80 nucleotides in length. Their secondary structure includes four short double-helical elements and three loops (D, anti-codon, and T loops).
Source: RNAcentral
GGGGAUGUAGCUCAGUUGGUUAGAGCACACGCCUGAUAAGCGUGAGGUCGGAUGUUCGAGUCAUCUCAUCCCCACCA